RNAcentral lists this ribosomal RNA (253 nucleotides) under uncultured bacterium. RNAcentral's name for it is "partial 16S ribosomal RNA". It matches the Rfam family "Bacterial small subunit ribosomal RNA", at positions 524 to 776 of the family's 1533-position model. The record is from RNAcentral.
UACAGGGGGUGCAAGCGUUGUUCGGAAUUACUGGGCGUAAAGCGCGUGUAGGCGGUCUGCCAAGUCUGAUGUGAAAGCCCUGGGCUCAACCCAGGAAGUGCGUCAGAUACUGGCGGACUGGAGUGGCGGAGAGGAUGGCGGAAUUCCCGGUGUAGAGGUGAAAUUCGUAGAUAUCGGGAGGAACACCUGUGACGAAGGCGGCCAUCUGGACGUCAACUGACGCUGAGACGCGAAAGCAUGGGGAGCAAACAGG